Non-coding RNA from Cricetulus griseus (Chinese hamster), 67 nucleotides. NCBI's taxonomy places the organism in Eukaryota, Metazoa, Chordata, Mammalia, Rodentia, Cricetidae. The record is from Rfam.
UCCCCAACAACAUCCUGGUGCUGAGUGAUGGCACAGGUGACUCCAGCAUCAGUGAUUUUGUUGAAGA